This 300-nucleotide ribosomal RNA is filed under the name uncultured Bacillus sp. Its description in RNAcentral is "partial 16S ribosomal RNA". The stretch from base 52 to 300 matches the Rfam family "Bacterial small subunit ribosomal RNA", at positions 547 to 795 of the family's 1533-position model. Lineage: Bacteria; Bacillati; Bacillota; Bacilli; Caryophanales; Bacillaceae. The record is from RNAcentral.
GCAAGUAGGUGGUGGUGAGACGGUGUGCGGCGUUGGGCGGGUGGCUGUGCGGGAUUUAUUGGUGUCGAAGUGCUGGGAGGCGGCGUGACGGGUCCACUGUGAAAACCCGCAGCUCAGCUGCGUGCGUGCAGUCGAUACGGGCAGGCUAGAGUUCGGUUGGGGAGACUGGUAUUCCUGGUGUAGCGGUGAAAUGCGCAGAGAUCAGGAGGAACACCGUUGGCGAAUGCGGGUCUCUGAGCCGAUACUGACGCUGAGGAGCGAAAGCGUGGGGAGCGAACAGGGUUAGAUACCCGAGUAGUC